UGGCGAACGGGUGAGUAAUACAUCGGAACGUGUCCUGUAGUGGGGGAUAGCCCGGCGAAAGCCGGAUUAAUACCGCAUACGACCUAAGGGAGAAAGCGGGGGAUCUUCGGACCUCGCGCUAUAGGGGCGGCCGAUGGCAGAUUAGCUAGUUGGUGGGGUAAAGGCCUACCAAGGCGACGAUCUGUAGCUGGUCUGAGAGGACGACCAGCCACACUGGGACUGAGACGCGGCCCAGACUCCUACGGGAGGCAGCAGUGGGGAAUUUUGGACAAUGGGGGCAACCCUGAUCCAGCAAUGCCGCGUGUGUGAAGAAGGCCUUCGGGUUGUAAAGCACUUUUGUCCGGAAAGAAAACUUCGAGGCUAAUAUCCUUGGAGGAUGACGGUACCGGAAGAAUAAGCACCGGCUAACUACGUGCCAGCAGCCGCGGUAAUACGUAGGGUGCGAGCGUUAAUCGGAAUUACUGGGCGUAAAGCGUGCGCAGGCGGUCUGUUAAGACCGAUGUGAAAUCCCCGGGCUUAACCUGGGACUGCAUUGGUGACUGGCAGGCUUUGAGUGUGGCAGAGGGGGGGUAGAAUUCCACGUGUAGCAGUGAAAUGCGUAGAGAUGUGGAGGAAUACCGAUGGCGAAGGCAGCCCCCUGGGCCGACACUGACGCUCAUGCACGAAAGCGUGGGGAGCAAACAGGAUUAGAUACCCUGGUAGUCCACGCUCUAAACGAUGUCAACUAGUUGUUGGGGAUUCGUUUCCUUAGUAACGUAGCUAACGCGUGAAGUUGACCGCCUGGGGAGUACGGUCGCAAGAUUAAAACUCAAAGGAAUUGACGGGGACCCGCACAAGCGGUGGAUGAUGUGGAUUAAUUCGAUGCAACGCGAAAAACCUUACCUACCCUUGACAUGGUCGGAACCCUGCUGAAAGGUGGGGGUGCUCGAAAGAGAACCGGCGCACAGGUGCUGCAUGGCUGUCGUCAGCUCGUGUCGUGAGAUGUUGGGUUAAGUCCCGCAACGAGCGCAACCCUUGUCCUUAGUUGCUACGCAAGAGCACUCUAAGGAGACUGCCGGUGACAAACCGGAGGAAGGUGGGGAUGACGUCAAGUCCUCAUGGCCCUUAUGGGUAGGGCUUCACA
This 1123-nucleotide ribosomal RNA is filed under the name Burkholderia sp. OL862. RNAcentral's name for it is "bacterial SSU rRNA". It matches the Rfam family "Bacterial small subunit ribosomal RNA", at positions 96 to 1220 of the family's 1533-position model. Lineage: Bacteria; Pseudomonadati; Pseudomonadota; Betaproteobacteria; Burkholderiales; Burkholderiaceae. The record is from RNAcentral.